This 225-nucleotide unclassified non-coding RNA is filed under the name Hevea brasiliensis (rubber tree). The record is from RNAcentral. Lineage: Eukaryota; Viridiplantae; Streptophyta; Magnoliopsida; Malpighiales; Euphorbiaceae.
GGGUAUGGGUGUUGAACCAGAUGAUGUUACUUACAUAAAUAUGCUCGCGGCUUAUGUUAAAUCAGGGGAUGUUGAAAAUGGCCGCUUGAUAUUUGAGAGCAUGGCUUGCCCUAGCUUGAUUUCAUGGAAUGCUAUUCUUUCAGGCUAUUCACAGAAUGAGGAGCAUCUCAAGGCACUAAAGCUUUUCAGAGAAAUGCAAUUUCAAAAUCUGCGACCUGAUCGGAC